GUCUGGUCUGGCCUCUGGCCAGCCCUGCAGAGGAACCUGCGGGCAGAACCCCAGACAGGUGCCAGAACAGCUGGGAGCUCAGCACAGCCCCCACUAAGGAGCUUGGGACCCAGCUGAGGACACUGUCCAGCUGGCCAGGGAGGGGCCUGACCCCUCUGCCCACUGCUGCUGCACUAGAGGCUCUGCACAAGCGGGGUCGGGCCUCCAGCUGGCCCUGCAAGGGGACCUGCGGGCAGAGCCCCACACAGGCCAG
Molecule: non-coding RNA, 253 nt
Organism: Pelodiscus sinensis (Chinese soft-shelled turtle)
Lineage: Eukaryota; Metazoa; Chordata; Testudines; Trionychidae
Source: RefSeq, a predicted model, not a curated record